Molecule: transfer RNA, 87 nt
Filed under: Caudoviricetes sp.
Lineage: Duplodnaviria; Heunggongvirae; Uroviricota; Caudoviricetes
Description: tRNA-Leu
Rfam family: tRNA
About the family: Transfer RNA (tRNA) molecules are approximately 80 nucleotides in length.
Source: RNAcentral
GCGGGUAUGGCGAAAUAGGCAAACGCAAUGGACUUAAAAUCCAUCGGGUUUUAUCCCUUGCAGGUUCAACCCCUGUUACCCGCACCA